Molecule: ribosomal RNA, 440 nt
Filed under: uncultured bacterium
Lineage: Bacteria
Description: partial 16S ribosomal RNA
Rfam family: Bacterial small subunit ribosomal RNA
Source: RNAcentral
CCUACGGGGGGCUGCAGUGGGGAAUAUUGCACAAUGGGGGAAACCCUGAUGCAGCGACGCCGCGUGAGUGAAGAAGUAAUUCGUUAUGUAAAGCUCUAUCAGCAGGGAAGAAAAUGACGGUACCUGAGUAAGAAGCCCCGGCUAACUACGUGCCAGCAGCCGCGGUAAUACGUAGGGGGCAAGCGUUAUCCGGAUUUACUGGGUGUAAAGGGAGCGUAGACGGCAGUGCAAGUCUGGAGGGAAAGGCGGGGGCGCAACCCCCGGACUGCUCUGGAAACUGUACGGCUGGAGUGCAGGAGAGGUAAGUGGAAUUCCUAUGGUAGCGGGUAAAUGCGUAGAUAUUAGGAGGAACACCAGUGGCGAAGGCGGCUUACUGGACUGUAACUGACGUUGAGGCUCGAAAGCGUGGGGAGCAAACAGGAUUAGAUACCCUUGUAGUC